Molecule: transfer-messenger RNA, 220 nt
Filed under: Fidelibacterota bacterium
Lineage: Bacteria; Pseudomonadati; Fidelibacterota
Description: partial transfer-messenger RNA
Rfam family: transfer-messenger RNA
About the family: Bacterial tmRNA, also known as 10Sa RNA or SsrA, is named for its dual tRNA and mRNA-like properties. Its role is to liberate the mRNA from a stalled ribosome.
Source: RNAcentral
GGGGGCGACCGGUUUCGACGGGAUAAGAUCGUUGUUAAACUGCAUGCGGAGAUCCCGGAAUUCUCCUAAAUCAUCCGGACAUUCAUACAUGCCGAUUACGGCUACAUGGCUGCAGCUUAAGACUGUGGCUCGUCCUUUAUCCGAUUUGUCUGUGGUUAGAUAAAAGGGCGUCGAUUACACAGACUGGUUCCUGUUACUGCCCAUAAUUCAGGAAUAAGAU